GACAAUUUGGCUGAGUGGUCUAAAGUGCCAGAUUUAAGCUUUGGUCCGAAAGGGCAUGGGUUCAAAUCCCAUAAUUGUCA
Cucurbita pepo subsp. pepo (vegetable marrow) is the source of this 80-nucleotide non-coding RNA. The record is from the annotation of a RefSeq genome assembly. Lineage: Eukaryota; Viridiplantae; Streptophyta; Magnoliopsida; Cucurbitales; Cucurbitaceae.